RNAcentral lists this ribosomal RNA (485 nucleotides) under uncultured bacterium. Its description in RNAcentral is "bacterial SSU rRNA". It matches the Rfam family "Bacterial small subunit ribosomal RNA", at positions 29 to 507 of the family's 1533-position model. The record is from RNAcentral.
AUUGAACGCUGGCGGAAUGCUUUACACAUGCAAGUCGAGCGGCAGCGCGGGGCGAACCUGGCGGCGAGCGGCGAACGGGUGAGUAACAUAUCGGAACGUACCCAGUCGUGGGGGAGUAACUAUCCGAAAGGAUAGCUAAUACCGCAUACGACCUGAGGGUGAAAGGGGGGGAGUCGCAAGACCUCUCGCGAUUGGAGCGGCCGAUAUCGGAUUAGCUAGUUGGUGAGGUAAAGGCUCACCAAGGCGACGAUCCGUAGCUGGUCUAAGAGGACGACCAGCCACACUGGAACUGAGACACGGUCCAGACUCCUACGGGAGGCAGCAGUGGGGAAUUUUGGACAAUGGGGGCAACCCUGAUCCAGCCAUUCCGCGUGAGUGAAGAAGGCCUUCGGGUUGUAAAGCUCUUUCGGCAGGAACGAAACGGUGAGCUCUAACAUAGCUUGCUAAUGACGGUACCUGAAGAAGAAGCACCGGCUAACUACGUG